UCCGUAGGUGAACCUGCGGAGGGAUCAUUACAGAGUUGCAAAACUCCCACAAACCAUCGCGAAUCUUACCCGUACGGUUGCCUCGGCGCUGGCGGUCCGGAAAGGCCCUCGGGCCCUCCCGGAUCCUCGGGUCUCCCGCUCGCGGGAGGCUGCCCGCCGGAGUGCCGAAACUAAACUCUUGAUAUUUUAUGUCUCUCUGAGUAAACUUUUAAAUAAGUCAAAACUUUCAACAACGGAUCUCUUGGUUCUGGCAUCGAUGAAGAACGCAGCGAAAUGCGAUAAGUAAUGUGAAUUGCAGAAUUCAGUGAAUCAUCGAAUCUUUGAACGCACAUUGCGCUCGCCAGUAUUCUGGCGAGCAUGCCUGUUCGAGCGUCAUUUCAACCAUCAAGCUCUGCUUGCGUUGGGGAUCCGCGGCUGUCCGCGGUCCCUCAAAAUCAGUGGCGGGCUCGCUAGUCACACCGAGCGUAGUAACUCUACAUCGCUAAGGUCGUGCGGCGGGUUCUUGCCGUAAAACCCCCCAUUUCUAAGGUUGACCUCGGAUCAGGUAGGAAUACCCGCUGAACUUAAGCAUAUCAAUAAGCGGAGGAA
Molecule: ribosomal RNA, 588 nt
Filed under: uncultured fungus
Lineage: Eukaryota; Fungi
Description: eukaryotic LSU rRNA
Rfam family: 5.8S ribosomal RNA (bases 222-375)
Source: RNAcentral